This 495-nucleotide ribosomal RNA is filed under the name Triticum aestivum (bread wheat). Its description in RNAcentral is "partial small subunit ribosomal RNA". The record is from RNAcentral. Lineage: Eukaryota; Viridiplantae; Streptophyta; Magnoliopsida; Poales; Poaceae.
AUGAGUAGCUCGGACAUCUUGCUCGGAGAUGGCUACCACCCAAAGCUGUCGCAGUAUGGUUUGGCAAAGCUUCACCAGCUAGCUGCAGAGGAAGAGACCUUCACGCUAAGUACUAAUAUUGCCCCCGAGAUGUUAGCUACUGGGAGGGUGACCACCAAGUCGAACGUGUACAGCUUCGGCGGCGUGCUGCUGGAGUUGAUCACGGGACGGACCCCCUUCGACCCCGCCCAGGCCGUCGCCGAGGAUCGGAACCUUGGCAUAUGGGCCACACGGUUGAUGAAGGACAGGAGCCAGUUCCGCUGGAUGGCAGACCCGGCGCUGCAGGACCGGUAUCCGUCCAUGGAUUUGCACAAGGCACUGAAAGUUGCUUCCAUGUGCAUCCACCAACGGCCGGCCAUGAGAUCCCCCAUUGGCGCCGUCGUUGCAGCUCUGUCUCGCCUUGCCGCCUGCGACGAUCAUCCACCUGAAUCAUCACACCACGCGGCGCCUCGUUAA